RNAcentral lists this long non-coding RNA (1759 nucleotides) under Phoenix dactylifera (date palm). RNAcentral describes it as "long non-coding RNA (PDAC_LNC001416)". The record is from RNAcentral. Lineage: Eukaryota; Viridiplantae; Streptophyta; Magnoliopsida; Arecales; Arecaceae.
GAUCCCUUACACUUUUCAAUAAUCUAAUCCAAGCUAAUUCAAAUGACUUAGGUUAGGUCUAGACCAGGUUUAUUUUUGGGUAGGUUGGUUCCAGAACAUGUCCAUCUAAUCCACUUGCAGACCUAACUGCAAGCAACUGGUUUAGAUUGUUUUGUCCCUAAUUAAUUGUAAUUGCAGCAUAAGACUUGGCACAAUGGAAAGGUUCUCCCGUUGUGACCUAUGUGUCACAAGUUUGAAACAUAGAAACAGUCUCUCCGUAUACAAUGUAAGAGUUCAUGCAUCUAACCCUUUCCAGACCCUGCAGUAGUGGGAACCUCGUGCGCUCGGGCGCCCCUUUUUUUAAUUGUAAUUGCAGCAUCAUUUCUCUCUCAACACAAGGACACAGAUAAACAUAUAUCCGCUUUCGUGCUUGUGCGUGUAGGUAUUGAGUUUAUGUAAGACAUUUUUCUGUCAAAGAAAAGCAACAUUAAAUGCUCCAUACCACAGCCAGCAGUUUGACUUGGACAUGUAAAGCAUUAACUCAACCUAGUCCGACCCAACUUGACCCAAUCUAGCAAACAUGUUCCUUCCGGUAUCCACAAGUCAACUACAGGGCAAGAAGCUUGCCUAGUUAAUAGAUCAGAGAAGGCUCAUGUUGACGGUUAUGAACUGUUAAGGUCUUGACAUGGGAAAAAAGAAUCAUAUUUCAUAUUUCUCUAUAGAAACUACCUACAUCAAACUCUCAUAUGUACACACUACAAUUUAUUUUGGUCUCUUAAAACUUGUAAUGGAAGUUGCAAAUAGGUUUGCUAAGAGAGAUGCACAAAUCAAGUGUGAGAUUAAAUUUGUAAUCUAAAUAAUAAAAGGAAGGGAGACGACCAUAGCAAACCUAUUAUUGAAUUAAGAAACCCUAAACCCAACCCACCCUUCCAUCCCCUCCAUUGGUCCAACUGCUUUCCCGUCUUUCCCUUUCCUCCCGCCACCUCUUCUUCUCCUCUUGUUUUCCCUUUUGUCCUUUCCACUCCCCCACUUCAACUCCUUUGCCCACCCUCCACUGACUUGCAACUUCUUACUGGGUAUUUUCAGUUUUGUCCCUCACACCAUGUACUCCUCAUACUGAUUAAUAAAGGUUGGGGGAUUGGGGGAAGUAUUUCGCUACUUCCAUUUUCACUCAAAAAAAAGAUAUUUUAAGUUUUUUCUCUUGAGCUAUAUAACUAACCCACUUGGACUCCUCUCCUCCCAUCCUCCACUGACUUGCAACUUCUUGAUAUUUUAAGUUUUCUCUCUUGAUCUAUUACAUGUCCCCUUACAUACACGGAUGCAUAUAGAAAUACAUAUGUAGAUAUACUAGCUAGUUUCUGAAGUUAUUUUUGAGCCCCACUUGAUAUGAGCCCGCACCCCCCAUCCCCAAGCCACACGCUGCAUAUAAUAUUUAAAUUAUUGAUGGAGGUACCAACCCUCCCCAAUCCACUGCCAUGCACACUCCAUGCCAAUUGGCUGGACACAUUUAUUUCCUUUCUUGUUCCCUUUGCCAUUGCUAAUUUACAAUUUCAUAGAGAAAUCCUAUGAGAUGUAACAAGAUAAAUAAUAAUCUUAGUCCAAUAAUAACCAAAAAACUGGCAACAAAGGAUUAAGAGAGGAAUAGUUGCAUACCUGCCCUUUGGGUUAGCACCUUUACGAAACCAGUGAAGAAUAGUGUCCUCAGCAAGCACAUCUAGAUCAUAAAGUGACCUUAUGAUUUCAGGAAAUAACUUCAUCAGUUUGGCAUCCUCAUAGCAUU